GAACUGCGAUAAGUAGUGUGAAUUGCAGAAUUCAGUGAAUCAUCGAGUCUUUGAACGCACAUUGCGCCCCCUGGCAUUCCGGGGGGCAUGCCUGUCCGAGCGUCAUUGCUACCCUCAAGCACGGCUUGUGUGUUGGGCCGCCGUCCGCCCCGCCCCGCGGGGGGGACGCGCCCGAAAGGCAGCGCCGGCACCGCGUCCGGUCCUCGAGCGUAUGGGGCUUCGUCACCCGCUCCGUGGGACCGGCCGGCGCCAGGCUUCGUCAACCCCUUCUUUUCUAGGUUGACCUCGGAUCAGGUAGGGAUACCCGCUGAACUUAA
Molecule: unclassified non-coding RNA, 317 nt
Filed under: uncultured Ascomycota
Lineage: Eukaryota; Fungi; Ascomycota
Description: sequence contains ITS1
Rfam family: 5.8S ribosomal RNA (bases 1-105)
Source: RNAcentral